This 376-nucleotide ribosomal RNA is filed under the name uncultured Legionella sp. RNAcentral's name for it is "bacterial SSU rRNA". It matches the Rfam family "Bacterial small subunit ribosomal RNA", at positions 283 to 651 of the family's 1533-position model. Lineage: Bacteria; Pseudomonadati; Pseudomonadota; Gammaproteobacteria; Legionellales; Legionellaceae. The record is from RNAcentral.
GUAGCUGGUCUGAGAGGAUGGCCAGCCACACUGGAACUGAGACACGGUCCAGACUCCUACGGGAGGCAGCAGUGGGGAAUAUUGGACAAUGGGGGCAACCCUGAUCCAGCAAUGCCGCGUGUGUGAAGAAGGCCUGAGGGUUGUAAAGCACUUUCAGUGGGGAGGAGGGUUGAUAGGUUAAGAGCUARUUAAUUGGACGUUACCCACAGAAGAAGCACCGGCUAACUCCGUGCCAGCAGCCGCGGUAAUACGGAGGGUGCGAGCGUUAAUCGGAAUUACUGGGCGUAAAGGGUGCGUAGGUGGUUGAWUAAGUUAUCUGUGAAAUCCCUGGGCUYAACCUGGGCAGGWCAGAUAAWACUGKUUGACUCGAGUAUGG